AUUGAACGCUGGCGGCAGGCUUAACACAUGCAAGUCGAGCGGGGUGAUGGUGCUUGCACUAUCACUUAGCGGCGGACGGGUGAGUAAUGCUUAGGAAUCUGCCUAUUAGUGGGGGACAACAUCUCGAAAGGGAUGCUAAUACCGCAUACGUCCUACGGGAGAAAGCAGGGGAUCACCUGUGACCUUGCGCUAAUAGAUGAGCCUAAGUCGGAUUAGCUAGUUGGUGGGGUAAAGGCCUACCAAGGCGACGAUCUGUAGCGGGUCUGAGAGGAUGAUCCGCCACACUGGGACUGAGACACGGCCCAGAGUCCUACGGGAGGUAGCAGUGGGGAAUAUUGGACAAUGGGGGGAACCCUGAUCCAGCCAUGCCGCGUGUGUGAAGAAGGCCUUAUGGUUGUAAAGCACUUUAAGCGAAGAGGAGGCUCUUUUGGUUAAUACCCAAGAUGAGUGGACGUUACUCGCAGAAUAAGCACCGGCUAACUCUGUGCCAGCCGCCGCCGUAA
Molecule: ribosomal RNA, 503 nt
Filed under: uncultured bacterium
Lineage: Bacteria
Description: partial 16S ribosomal RNA
Rfam family: Bacterial small subunit ribosomal RNA
Source: RNAcentral